CCUGUUUUGUUUGUUCCUUUUGUAGGUUUACUUAGUUUCCACUCAGUCAUGUUCACACACAGAUUCAUGCAUCCAUGCACUUUACAUACACCCUACAUUAUGACAUUUCCACACCUCAUUCCUUUUUCUUUGUUUAAAGUUAAUAGUUUUUGGUUUACAAUAAAGAACCUUUUGAUUGGCCUAUACCUGUUGUUCAUGUCCCCUCAUUUUUGCCACAGGCUAUGAGCCGGCCUGUGACAAGUGGGGGCUCAUCCGUGGCAGUGAACGUGGGUAGAGCUUCCCUUUUCCCCUACAUCGGCUCGGGAGCACCUCUGUGGUUAUAGGGGGGGCCGCCAGUUCUGCUUGUCUUUUCCACUCCACUGGUUUUGUGUGCAUAAAACCCCACCACAUGUGACUGCACGAAGACCAGGGCCAGUUACUUAGUUGUUUUUGGAGGAUAUUGGGGUGUGGCUCCUGUUCUUGAACCCAGACUGACAGCAGGUCACAGUUGUGAAUGAGAACUUGUUCUCAACUGGCUUACAUGGUUGAAUAAAGAAUACUUCAAAAUGAGAAGAUCCUGCCAUGGAAAAGACGACUAGGUGGACAUAAAGUGGAAAGGAGGGGAAAUAACUCGCACUAUGCAGCAGGACACCUUCAGCUGUGGGGUCUUUGUAAUGCAGAUGGCCAAGGAAGUUGCAUAGAACUUCCCCAACAUCCCCUCUCAAAUUGAUAUGGAACCUUCAAAAACACAUGGAGCAACUGCGAAAAGAAAUGGCUGAGAAUUUACUAAAAAUGUCUGAGUUCAACAAAGCCAACAACUGCGUCAUGUGUGCCACUGAUAAAGAACCUGGAUGUGGCCCAAAGACUGACUGGUGUGCUGUGCCUAGGAAUGAAGACAAGAGUUCAACAGAGUAAAGAACACAAACUGGAAGUGCUGUCUUUGUUGUUGAAAAUGUAUGCUAUACCCCAGCCACACUGAAGAGGCUCUGAAAUGUACAUCAACCAGGGAUAAAGAGAAAGUUAACACUGUGAAAUGUUUCUUACUUAAUUGAAGUUAUGUCUCUGACAUGUUGAAAAAGAUUAAAG
RNAcentral lists this long non-coding RNA (1065 nucleotides) under Salmo salar (Atlantic salmon). RNAcentral describes it as "lncRNA (ENSSSAG00000104765.1)". The record is from RNAcentral. Lineage: Eukaryota; Metazoa; Chordata; Actinopteri; Salmoniformes; Salmonidae.